GUCCAGAGACUAUGAUGUGAUAGUUUCCAAGCACAUAUCUGAUUAGUAUAUGUUGAAAUCCAUCUAUCUCUGAGUUUUCUGGAC
This is a small nucleolar RNA of Sarcophilus harrisii (Tasmanian devil), 84 nucleotides long. Ensembl annotates it as small nucleolar RNA, C/D box 121A. NCBI's taxonomy places the organism in Eukaryota, Metazoa, Chordata, Mammalia, Dasyuromorphia, Dasyuridae. The record is from Ensembl.